RNAcentral lists this transfer RNA (60 nucleotides) under uncultured Stackebrandtia sp. It matches the Rfam family "tRNA", at positions 8 to 62 of the family's 71-position model. From Rfam's summary of the family: Transfer RNA (tRNA) molecules are approximately 80 nucleotides in length. Their secondary structure includes four short double-helical elements and three loops (D, anti-codon, and T loops). The record is from RNAcentral. Lineage: Bacteria; Bacillati; Actinomycetota; Actinomycetes; Glycomycetales; Glycomycetaceae.
UCUUAGCUCAAUUGGUAGAGCUGCGGACUUUUAAUCCGUAGGUUCCGGGUUCGAGUCCCG